GUGGGUGUGUGCAGUGUCAGUGGGUGUGGACAUGCCUGUGUAGAUAUAUAAUGAGUAAGUAUGCAUGUUGAUUCAGAAGUGCAGCAGGCAGGAACAGGCACGGGGGCAAUGGAUCCCCAGCAAAAAGUUACAAUACUGCGAGAGGGCUUCCUGGUGAAAAGGGGUCAUCUCGUGCACAACUGGAAAGCGCGCUGGUUCGUGCUGACGCCAGACAAGCUUACCUACUACAAAUACGACGGCGGGAAAAGAGACUCAUGCCAGCGGGGGAAAAUCAUGCUGAAGGAUUGUGUCAUUACUUGCCCCUUCCUGGAGUACGACAAUCGACCUUUGGUGUUUCGGCUUCAGACCAAGAACUGCGUCAAUCACUUCCUGGAAGCGUGUUCCCGGGAGGAGCGAGACGAGUGGGCCGGCGACAUCGCGGCAGCAGCGGACAAAUUGGAGGCCGGAGCAGACGCUGAUGGGGAUGGGUCACUUAGUAUCAGUCCGUCCACAUCAGAAGGCUCGCAGCCACACAACAUCAACCUGAGCAAAGUACUGGAGGCCAUGUAUGACGUUCACAGUGGAAUCAACAUGAGCAACCACGUGGAGCAAGGACGCAUGUUCUCCAACUGCUUCUCAGGCUCUGCAGUGGUGGACUGGUUGGUGUUCACGCAGCUGGCGCUGACCCGAACCGAGGCGGUGACGUUGGCGUCAGCCCUUCUGGAAGAGGGCUUCCUGCGCACCAUCGGCCUGCGGAGCGUGGAGGCGCUGCGCACUGCCGGCCUCAGCGAGCUCUUCCUGGAUGACUCCACGGCGCUUUACAGCUUUUCAGACAACUUGAAGAAGCGAGGCUGCGUGAAAGCCGAGACCACACUGUCUGCGGUGGAGCUCAGCGGUCACGUGAUCAAGAGAGGCUACCUGCUCAAACAAGGCCACCGGCGGAAAAACUGGAAGAUUCGGCUGUUUGUGCUACGCUCCGAACCUUCGUUCCUCCACUACUACGACCCCACCAAGGACGAUAUCAGCCCCGUCGGAGGCUUCCCACUCCGAGGCUCGCUGGUGUCCUCACUGGAUGAUAAUGGCGUUCCCUCUGGUGUCAAGGGCAACAUCCAAGGCAACCUGUUCAAGAUCAUCACCCAGUCGGACACACACUAUUUCAUCCAGGCUCCGAGCCACCAGGAGAAGAUGGAUUGGAUCGACGCCAUCCGGGAGCAUACGUAGCCCAACGUGCAGCGCUGCUAUGGAAAAGUGGUGUCACACAAUAUCCCGCCAGAGCAAAGAAGUGUGACGAGUCGGAACAUGACGCUCGCCACUCCUGCCCCCGCAAGCCCGGUAUGGCCUUCGGCGCGAUGAGUCACAAACUGGCACCAUUUAAACAUAAAUAAAUUAAUAAAAUCCCAGCAGGGCAAAUAACAAUCAAGGGAAUUUUAUUCCAGGGAAGUAAAGUCGCAAUCAAGCAAAAAAAAAUAGUUCUUGCUGUUGCUAAAAAACAUUUAAAGUGUGUGGGUGUGACCUUUGUAAGAUUUAUGUUCAGAAGAAUACACAUUAGCAGAAUGCGCAACAA
Molecule: RNA transcript, 1543 nt
Organism: Hippocampus comes (tiger tail seahorse)
Lineage: Eukaryota; Metazoa; Chordata; Actinopteri; Syngnathiformes; Syngnathidae
Gene: plek2
Gene name: pleckstrin 2
Exons: 10
Source: RefSeq, a predicted model, not a curated record